GAUGAACGCUGGCGGCGUGCCUAAUACAUGCAAGUCGAGCGAACAGACGAGGAGCUUGCUCCUCUGACGUUAUCGGCGGACGGGUGAGUAACACGUGGAUAACCUACCUAUAAGACUGGGAUAACUUCGGGAAACCGGAGCUACUACCGGAUAAUAUAUUGAACCGCAUGGUUCACUAGUGAAAGACGGUUUUGCUGUCACUUAUAGAUGGAUCCGCGCCGCAUGACGUAGUUGGUAAGGUAACGGCUUACCAAGGCUACGAUGCGUAGCCGACCUGAGAGGGUGAUCCGACACACUGGAACAGAGGCACAGUCCAGACUCCUACGGGGGGCAGCAGUAGGGACUCUUCCGCCAGGGGGGAAAGCCUGACGUAGCAAAGCCGCGUGAGGGAUGAACGUCUUCGGAUCGUAAAACUCUGUAAUUAGGGAAGAACUAAAGUGUAAGUACCUGUGCACGUCAUGACGGUACCUAAUCAGUAAGCUACGGCUAACUACGUG
RNAcentral lists this ribosomal RNA (497 nucleotides) under uncultured bacterium. RNAcentral's name for it is "partial 16S ribosomal RNA". It matches the Rfam family "Bacterial small subunit ribosomal RNA", at positions 28 to 507 of the family's 1533-position model. The record is from RNAcentral.